GUUGGCCUCGGAUCAGGUGGGGAUACCCGCUGAACUUAAGCAUAUCAAUAAGCGGAGGAAAAGAAACCAACAGGGAUUGCCUCAGUAACGGCGAGUGAAGCGGCAACAGCUCAAAUUUGAAAUCUGGCUCACGCCCGAGUUGUAAUUUGUAGAGGAUGUUUCGGGUGAAGCCACGGUCCAAGUCCCUUGGAACAGGACGUCAUAGAGGGUGAGAACCCCGUACCUGGCCGUCGGUGCCCCCCGCUGUGAAACUCCUUCGACGAGUCGAGUUGUUUGGGAAUGCAGCUCUAAAUUGGUGGUAAAUUCCAUCUAAAGCUAAAUACCGGCCAGAGACCGAUAGCGCACAAGUAGAGUGAUCGAAAGAUGAAAAGCACUUUGAAAAGAGAGUUAAAAAGUACGUGAAAUUGUUGAAAGGGAAGCGCUUGCGGCCAGACUUGCCCGCGGUUGCUCAGCCCGCCUUUUGGCGGGUGCACUCUUCCGCGGUCAGGCCAGCAUCGGUUUGGGCGGCCGGAUAAAGACGCCGGGAACGUGGCCUCCCCUCGGGGAGGUGUUAUAGCCCGGCGUGCAAUGCGACCAGCCCGGACCGAGGUUCGCGCUCUGCUAGGAUGCUGGCGUAAUGGCCGUAAGCGGCCCGUCUUGAAACACGGACCAAGGAGUCUAACAUCUAUGCGAGUGUUUGGGUGUCAAACCCGUGCGCGUAAUGAAAGUGAACGGAGGUGGGAACCCGCAAGGGCGCACCAUCGACCGAUCCUGAUGUCUUCGGAAGGAUUUGAGUAAGAGCAUAGCUGUUGGGACCCGAAAGAUGGUGAACUAUGCGUGAAUAGGGUGAAGCCAGAGGAAACUCUGGUGGAGGCUCGCAGCGGUUCUGACGUGCAAAUCGAUCGUCAAAUUUGCGUAUAGGGGCGAAAGACUAAUCGAACCAUU
This 924-nucleotide ribosomal RNA is filed under the name Venturia macularis. RNAcentral's name for it is "eukaryotic LSU rRNA". It matches the Rfam family "Eukaryotic large subunit ribosomal RNA", at positions 1 to 944 of the family's 3401-position model. The record is from RNAcentral. Lineage: Eukaryota; Fungi; Ascomycota; Dothideomycetes; Venturiales; Venturiaceae.